GCAGGGAAGAGGAAGAAAGAGAGAGCAUAAGAGCACUAGGAAUGGGAACAUGGAGGAAAGUUUAAGUCUUAUAUUUUCACCUCUAGUGUUGGAGGUGCAAAUAUUUAGUUGUGUGCUUUCCUGAUGUCUCCCAUUCCUAUGGUUCUUGAGCACUCCUUCCUCUUCCUUUUCGCU
Molecule: non-coding RNA, 174 nt
Organism: Triticum aestivum (bread wheat)
Lineage: Eukaryota; Viridiplantae; Streptophyta; Magnoliopsida; Poales; Poaceae
Source: Rfam